This 256-nucleotide unclassified non-coding RNA is filed under the name Hevea brasiliensis (rubber tree). The record is from RNAcentral. Lineage: Eukaryota; Viridiplantae; Streptophyta; Magnoliopsida; Malpighiales; Euphorbiaceae.
AUUGGAUACAAUAUUCUCCAUGAGCAUAGUUUGCCAAUGAAUGAUAAUUGGUAUUGGAUUAGCAUCGGUGUUUUAUGGCUCUAUGCGGUGCUUUUCAACCUCGUUGUGACUUGGGCCUUAACCUAUCUUAAUCCUCUCCGGAAGGCUCAAACAGUGGCUGAUCCAGUUGAUGCCACAGAAGAAAAUUCUGCUAGAAAUGCUAAUCAGGGGACUCAGUUUAAUGGAACAUCUGCUAAGGAGGACAAUAAAAAGACGG